RNAcentral lists this ribosomal RNA (429 nucleotides) under uncultured archaeon. Its description in RNAcentral is "bacterial SSU rRNA". It matches the Rfam family "Archaeal small subunit ribosomal RNA", at positions 474 to 903 of the family's 1478-position model. The record is from RNAcentral.
UACCUGCAGCUCGAGUGGUAACCGCUAUUAUUGGGCCUAAAGCGUCCGUAGCCGGUUUGGUAAAUAUCUGGGUAAAUCGUGAGGCUUAACUUCACGAAUUUCGGAUAGACUGCCAGACUUGGGAUCGGGGGAGGUCAGAGGUACUCCAGGGGUAGCGGUGAAAUGUUGUAAUCCUUGGAGGACCACCGGUAGCGAAGGCGUCUGACUAGAACGAGUCCGACGGUGAGGGACGAAGCCCUGGGGCGCAAACCGGAUUAGAUACCCGGGUAGUCCAGGGUGUAAACGAUGUGGGCUUUGUAUUGGAGGUCUCACGUGGGCGUCCAGUGCAGAAGAGAAGUUGUUAAGCCCACCGCCUGGGAAGUACGGUCGCAAGGCUGAAACUUAAAGGAAUUGGCGGGGGAGCACAGCAACGGGAGGAGCGUGCGGUUU